This 536-nucleotide ribosomal RNA is filed under the name Theloderma rhododiscus (Chinese bubble-nest frog). RNAcentral describes it as "partial 16S ribosomal RNA". It matches the Rfam family "Bacterial large subunit ribosomal RNA", at positions 1810 to 2576 of the family's 2925-position model. Lineage: Eukaryota; Metazoa; Chordata; Amphibia; Anura; Rhacophoridae. The record is from RNAcentral.
AAAACAUCGCCUCUUGACCCGCUAUAAGAGGUCCAGCCUGCCCAGUGAUAAAAUUCAACGGCCGCGGUAUCCUAACCGUGCAAAGGUAGCACAAUCACUUGUUCUUUAAAUAAGGACUCGUAUCAACGGCACCACGAGGGUUGCACUGUCUCCCCCCUCCAAUCAGUGAAACUGAUCUCCCCGUGAAGAAGCGGGGAUCUACCCAUAAGACGAGAAGACCCCAUGGAGCUUAAAACUACCAGCAACUCAACUACACACCACCCACAACCUACAGAGACCUGCGUGCCAGUUUUCGGUUGGGGCGACCGCGGAGCAAAAAUUAACCUCCACAACGAAAAGAGCUAAAUCUUUAUCCUAGAACCACCCCUCUAAGAAUUAGUACACUAACGAACAAUGACCCGACUAUCGACCAACGAACCAAGUUACCCUGGGGAUAACAGCGCAAUCUACUUCAAGAGCCCCUAUCGACAAGUAGGCUUACGACCUCGAUGUUGGAUCAGGGUACCCCAGUGGUGCAGCCGCUCCUAACGGUUCGU